This is a non-coding RNA of Pelobates cultripes (western spadefoot toad), 1042 nucleotides long. NCBI's taxonomy places the organism in Eukaryota, Metazoa, Chordata, Amphibia, Anura, Pelobatidae. The record is from the annotation of a GenBank genome assembly.
CAACAGAUGGGUUUUUAUUUAACAAUGUGUUUGAUACAGAAGAAUGUCAGUUUGAUCAGUGCACACGGUUUAUAAACACCAUUUCCACAUUGAAAGACAAAACAAAUAAUACUUUGUUUUCUGCAAAAUUCUAUUAAUGUGCUUAUUUUUGGUCCGAUGGGGACUUUGAAAUCCUAUUCACAGCUUGUUCGUAAAAUAUUUAGCCUACCGAUGAGCAGUAUGCAUUCAGCUUUAUAAAUAGCAUUUAUGUCAAACUAAAGUCAAAGUAAUACUGGAACACAAAGUACAGAAAAAUAUACAUACUCAGUAUAUUAUGAGGUUAAAUAUACAUACACGUGUCUGUAUAAACCUUAAAGCAACGAACAUUAAAAAAAUAAAAGCAUAUUGGCCAAAAUCUCCAUUUUAUAAAGGCAUGCUGUAUUUUAUGUAUUUUAUUGUUGGUUUGUUAGUUUUUGGAUGCAGGCCAUAAUUUGGAUAUAUUAAAGGGAUAAUGUAGUGCCAGGAAUACAAAGCUGUAUUCAUGACACUCUCCCUCCCUCACCCUUUAUUUACUAGCCUAAUCCUAGCGCCGAUGUCCCUCAGCGCUGGGUCAACGGUCGUGGCAAAUGCUGCAUGCGCAUUAGACCUCCCUAUAGGAAAGCAUUGAAGCAAUGCUUUCCUAUGGGGGGAAAAUCUGCUGCUGUAGGUCCUCAUGCAGAGUGUGAGGAUGUCCCGCAUCAGUUACCAGACCGUUUCAAACCAGGAAGCGUCCCCAGUGGCUGGCUGGUAGCCACUGGAGGCAGACUUAGAGCUGCAAUGUAAACAUUGCGGUUUCUCUGAAACAGCAAUGUUUUUUACAUUGGUGGACUAUGUGCAAUAGAGACCCUGUACCCAGACCACUUUAAUGAGCUGAAAUGGUCUGGGUGCCUAUAGUGUCCCUUUUAAAGGGGAUAAUUCACAAACUAUCAAAUAGCAAAGUCUAGCGCAAAAUCGCCAAGCCAUGACACAGUCAAGCUGUAUAAUGUUUCUAAAUUGGCUCUUUUAACCUAAAUGUGGCCUAUUG